RNAcentral lists this ribosomal RNA (1070 nucleotides) under uncultured Pseudomonadota bacterium. Its description in RNAcentral is "bacterial SSU rRNA". It matches the Rfam family "Bacterial small subunit ribosomal RNA", at positions 464 to 1533 of the family's 1533-position model. The record is from RNAcentral. Lineage: Bacteria; Pseudomonadati; Pseudomonadota.
AGCAAUUGACAUUAGCGACAGAAGAAGCACCGGCUAACUCCGUGCCAGCAGCCGCGGUAAUACGGAGGGUGCGAGCGUUAAUCGGAAUUACUGGGCGUAAAGGGCACGCAGGCGGUUAAUUAAGUUGGAUGUGAAAUCCCCGGGCUUAACCUGGGAAUGGCAUUCAAGACUGGUUAGCUAGAGUCUUGUAGAGGGGGGCAGAAUUCCAUGUGUAGCGGUGAAAUGCGUAGAGAUGUGGAGGAAUACCGGUGGCGAAGGCGGCCCCCUGGACAAAGACUGACGCUCAUGUGCGAAAGCGUGGCGAGCAAACAGGAUUAGAUACCCUGGUAGUCCACGCUGUAAACGAUGUCGAUUUGGAGGUUGUGGUCAUGAACUGUGGCCUCCGGAGCUAACGCGUUAAAUCGACCGCCUGGGGAGUACGGCCGCAAGGUUAAAACUCAAAUGAAUUGACGGGGGCCCGCACAAGCGGUGGAGCAUGUGGUUUAAUUCGAUGCAACGCGAAGAACCUUACCUACUCUUGACAUCCAGCGAAUCCUUUAGAGAUAGAGGAGUGCCUUCGGGAGCGCUGAGACAGGUGCUGCAUGGCUGUCGUCAGCUCGUGUUGUGAAAUGUUGGGUUAAGUCCCGCAACGAGCGCAACCCUUAUCCUUUGUUGCCAGCGAGUAGAGUCGGGAACUCAAAGGAGACUGCCGGUGAUAAACCGGAGGAAGGUGGGGAUGACGUCAAGUCAUCAUGGCCCUUACGAGUAGGGCUACACACGUGCUACAAUGGCGUAUACAGAGAGAGGCGAGCCAGCGAUGGGGAGCGGAACUCAGAAAGUACGUCGAAGUCCGGAUUGGAGUCUGCAACUCGACUCCAUGAAGUCGGAAUCGCUAGUAAUCGCGGAGCAGCAUGUCGCGGUGAAUACGUUCCCGGGCCUUGUACACACCGCCCGUCACACCAUGGGAGUGGGUUGCAAAAGAAGUAGGUAGCUUAACCUUUUGGAUGGCGCUUACCACUUUGUGAUUCAUGACUGGGGUGAAGUCGUAACAAGGUAACCGUAGGGGAACCUGCGGUUGGAUCACCUCCUUA